Molecule: non-coding RNA, 598 nt
Organism: Python bivittatus (Burmese python)
Lineage: Eukaryota; Metazoa; Chordata; Lepidosauria; Squamata; Pythonidae
Source: RefSeq, a predicted model, not a curated record
GUGAGUUGAUAGCGUGACAUUCCCCUCCUCACUCUUCGAGCCAUCUGUGGAGAAUGCUCUAAUUCUGGAUUUCCUCUGUCAAACAGAUAGUCAAGCAGGAUGGAAUUCAAGGCCCCUCUAUGAUUCUAUGAGAUGGAAUACAUCCAUGAUGGACAGCACAGUCAAGAACACAUUUCUUCCCCCUUCCCCACUUAAUCUCCUCAAUCAUAAUUGGCUUGCAGAGAAGCAGGAAAUAACUUACAAAACAAAGCACAUCUCUUAUGUGUUAAAAUUCAGUGAACUUUAGUCUCUGGAGAACUUGGAUGUUAACAACUCGACCAUCAAGCUUGGCCGAAGAGAUUGCCCCAUAGCAGUUGUUCUCAUCCUUGGCGACUUUAGGAUGUGUGGACUUCACUCCCCAAAUUCCCCAGCCAGCGUGGCUCUCCAGACACUAUUAAAAAUCAAGCUAUUUUGGAGAACAUUUGGGAUAUGAAGUGAUGCCAUUCAUUAUGAGAUUGAAUUUGUGUGAGUUGGGUAGGAAGGGCAGUUAAGGCUGUUUUUGUAUUUCCAUUUAAUUUUCUUUCCUGCAGAUGCUUUGUUUUAUGGCUUUGGAUGUAUC